Molecule: ribosomal RNA, 500 nt
Filed under: uncultured bacterium
Lineage: Bacteria
Description: partial 16S ribosomal RNA
Rfam family: Bacterial small subunit ribosomal RNA
Source: RNAcentral
AUUGAACGCUGGCGGCAUGCCUUACACAUGCAAGUCGAACGGGAGCACGGGAGCAAUCCUGGUGGCGAGUGGCGAACGGGUGAGUAAAGUAUCGGAACGUGCCCAGUCGUGGGGGAUAACGUAGCGAAAGUUACGCUAAUGCCGCAUACGAUCUAUGGAUGAAAGCGGGGGAUCGCAAGACCUCGCGCGAUUGGAACGGCCGAUAUCAGAUUAGGUAGUUGGUGGGGUAAAGGCUCAACAAGCCGACGAUCUGUAGCUGGUCUGAGAGGACGAGCAGGCACACUGGGGCUGAGAGACGGCCCAGACUGCUACGGGAGGCAGAAGUGGGGAAUGUUGGACAAUGGGCGAAAGCCUGAUCCAGCCAUGCCGCGUGCAGGAUGAAGGCCUUCGGGUUAUAAACUGCUUUUGUACGGAACGAAGAGGUUUGGCCUAAUAAGCUGAGCUCAUGACGGUACCGUAAGAAUAAGCACCGGCUAACUACGUGCCAGCCGCCGCGGUAA